GGCGGCGUCCCUAAUACAUGCAAGUCGAGCGAACAGACGAGGAGCUUGCUCCUUUGACGUUAGCGGCGGACGGGUGAGUAACACGUGGGUAACCUACCUAUAAGACUGGGAUAACUUCGGGAAACCGGAGCUAAUACCGGAUAAUAUUUCGAACCGCAUGGUUCGAUAGUGAAAGAUGGCUUUGCUAUCACUUAUAGAUGGACCUGCGCCGUAUUAGCUAGUUGGUAAGGUAACGGCUUACCAAGGCAACGAUACGUAGCCGACCUGAGAGGGUGAUCGGCCACACUGGAACUGAGACACGGUCCAGACUCCUACGGGAGGCAGCAGUAGGGAAUCUUCCGCAAUGGGCGAAAGCCUGACGGAGCAACGCCGCGUGAGUGAUGAAGGUCUUCGGAUCGUAAAACUCUGUUAUUAGGGAAGAACAAACGUGUAAGUAACUGUGCACGUCUUGACGGUACCUAAUCAGAAAGCCACGGCUAACUACGUGCCAGCAGCCGCGGUAAUACGUAGGUGGCAAGCGUUAUCCGGAAUUAUUGGGCGUAAAGCGCGCGUAGGCGGUUUUUUAAGUCUGAUGUGAAAGCCCACGGCUCAACCGUGGAGGGUCAUUGGAAACUGGAAAACUUGAGUGCAGAAGAGGAAAGUGGAAUUCCAUGUGUAGCGGUGAAAUGCGCAGAGAUAUGGAGGAACACCAGUGGCGAAGGCGACUUUCUGGUCUGUAACUGACGCUGAUGUGCGAAAGCGUGGGGAUCAAACAGGAUUAGAUACCCUGGUAGUCCACGCCGUAAACGAUGAGUGCUAAGUGUUAGGGGGUUUCCGCCCCUUAGUGCUGCAGCUAACGCAUUAAGCACUCCGCCUGGGGGAGUACGACCGCAAGGUUGAAACUCAAAGGAAUUGACGGGGACCCGCACAGCGGGUGGAGCAUGGUGGAUUAAUUCGAAGCAACGCGAAGAACCUUACCAAAUCUUGACAUCCUUUGACCCUUCUAGAGAUAGAAGUUUCCUUCGGGGGACAAAA
RNAcentral lists this ribosomal RNA (1014 nucleotides) under Staphylococcus sp. A2.11. RNAcentral's name for it is "bacterial SSU rRNA". It matches the Rfam family "Bacterial small subunit ribosomal RNA", at positions 38 to 1031 of the family's 1533-position model. Lineage: Bacteria; Bacillati; Bacillota; Bacilli; Caryophanales; Staphylococcaceae. The record is from RNAcentral.